AGAACGAACGCUGGCGGCAUGCCUAACACAUGCAAGUCGAACGAGACCUUCGGGUCUAGUGGCGCACGGGUGCGUAACGCGUGGGAAUCUGCCCUUGGGUUCGGAACAACAGUUGGAAACGACUGCUAAUACCGGAUGAUGACGUAAGAUCAAAGAUUUAUCGCCCAGGGAUGAGCCCGCGUAGGAUUAGCUAGUUGGUGAGGUAAAGGCUCACCAAGGCGACGAUCCUUAGCUGGUCUGAGAGGAUGAUCAGCCACACUGGGACUGAGACACGGCCCAGACUCCUACGGGAGGCAGCAGUAGGGAAUAUGGACAAUGGGCGCAAGCCUGAUCCAGCAAUGCCGCGUGAGUGAUGAAGGUCCUUAGGGUUGUAAAGUCUUACUUUUACCCGAGAU
RNAcentral lists this ribosomal RNA (395 nucleotides) under uncultured soil bacterium. Its description in RNAcentral is "bacterial SSU rRNA". It matches the Rfam family "Bacterial small subunit ribosomal RNA", at positions 26 to 449 of the family's 1533-position model. The record is from RNAcentral.